Molecule: ribosomal RNA, 280 nt
Filed under: Aidanosagitta regularis
Lineage: Eukaryota; Metazoa; Chaetognatha; Sagittoidea; Aphragmophora; Sagittidae
Description: partial 28S ribosomal RNA
Source: RNAcentral
UGAGGGAAAGCUGCAAAGUACUCUGAAGAGAGAGUUCAAUAGGACGUGAAGCCGUCUGCAGGGAAACGGGUGAGACCGCACGGUAGACCCGCGGCGGAUUCAGCUCCGGGGGCAACUCUGGGGUGCACUUCCGCGUCAGCGGGUCGCGCAGGGCCCGACUCUUUGGCCGUCUGAAGCCCGGUGAGGAGGUGACGGGGUUCUUCGGAUCUCCGAGUUUAACUCAUCGGCGCGGAGACCGGCUGCGGGGUCGAGGAAUGUCCAUCCGUCUUUGACGCGUGGG